CAGUAUCAUAGUUCAUUCGUAUUUUAUCUAUUAGUGUUCUUUUUCUUUAACUUAGAAAAGAAAAAAUCUAGUUGUAGAAAACAGAACAAGAAUGUUCAAGGGUCUAAAAGAUUUAUAGGCCUGCUGUGAAGGAAGAAGAAUAAGAUCUCUCUUUCAGCUUGUCCACUGCUUACCUUUUUAGCAGUGUCCACUAGCUCAGACUAGAAUGCUUUUCCCCCGCCUCGAUUGAUCAAUUUUGAAAUGUAUUAACCCAAAAUAAUAAGACUCAG
Molecule: unclassified non-coding RNA, 269 nt
Filed under: Hevea brasiliensis (rubber tree)
Lineage: Eukaryota; Viridiplantae; Streptophyta; Magnoliopsida; Malpighiales; Euphorbiaceae
Source: RNAcentral